This is an RNA transcript of Lonchura striata (white-rumped munia), 3685 nucleotides long. RefSeq lists it as uncharacterized. The record is from RefSeq and is a predicted model, not a curated record. NCBI's taxonomy places the organism in Eukaryota, Metazoa, Chordata, Aves, Passeriformes, Estrildidae.
CGGCCCGGCCCGGCCCGGCCCGCCCGACCCCUGCCCGCAGCGGGGCCGCGGUCCCAACCCCAUGUGUCCCACUUGUCUGGAUUAAAAUUUGAAGUCUGGCAGUCUGGUUCUUUUCAUAGCUCCAGAGGAUUUUUGGGAGCAUGGGAUGCAUGGACCUGUUGACCCACAAAACUCUGGAGAAUGUUGGCUGUGGAUAAAAACAUCUGGAAGUUUCUACCAUCUUUUUACCCUGUUUUUCCUGGAUCAACCUGUGUCGUUUGUGGUCUUGCCCUGAGGAUUAUAGCAUACAGUCACUUACUGGAAUACCUUUCCAUGCAUCUUCUUGAAAUGGAGCCACUGCUUUACCCAGCUGGAAGAUAUUUUCUCUUCUCCCAGAGCUUUUCCAGUGCAGCAACACUCCUGUCCAUCAGGUCUCAGUUGACUGCAAAAAGGAGAAGAGUGUGUCAAAGGGAGGUCAGAUCCUGCCAGGGUUUCCUGGGAAAUGAGGUGUAUUCACUGUUUGGAUGAUGAAGCUUGAUGAGCUGCAAUUCAGCUUGGAUUACAGUAUUUCAGGAGACUUUCUGAACUUGCCAGGCAACCCUCCCCCUCGACUUUGGGGACAGAGGAACUUAAAUUUAUAUUUUCAGUGUCACACAAGGAGAUAGUAUGGAGCUGGCUGCUUUACACAAGUAAUGAAAAUCGAUGCUGUGUUGCUCUUGGAAGGAGUGCUCAAAAGGAGAAAAGCCUGGCAUAUACAUCUUGGUUUAGAGACAGAUUUUACCUGGGAAGAAUGUGUCCAGGAGAAGGAGAAGAGGUGAUGCUAAAAGCCAGCUUCCUGACCUCCAGACUGGAACUGAAGCUCUGUAACAAGAUUUAUGUGGAAAGUAUGACUGACAGGAGCAGCUUACUCAUCAUUAGAUAAGUAUUGCAGAUGACUCAUGCAGGAGUAUUGAUAGCUGUGCUACUGAGAUGGAUAUCCUGUUUUAUAACAGCUGUACUGUGAUGCCAAGAGCCAGGAAGCUUAAUUUCACUAUCCAUGCUUUUCUGUGAAUGUGCUUUGGGUCUCUGGCACCUUUUCUCCUUGGUUUGUCCAUCUAAAGAGUUCACAGGGGAGGUUUUGCUUCCCUCAGUUGGGUGUAGGGUAUGGGGCCACUCAUGUCACCUUGAAAUGAAAGCUAGUGUUGAAAGGCUGCAGCUUUUAUACUUGUUUUCCAGGACAAGCAAUAUUUGUCUUUUUAGUAGAAGCCAUCAGUGACUUUCCUCGAUUCUUAGGGUCUUUUUUGUUUUGUUUGUGGUUUUUUUUUUUUCAGAGGUAUUAUACUCCUUCUUCAGCAGAACAAACCAGAAGGUGUAGAAACAGGGAAACAGCUGUAUUUAUGCAUGAAAACCACACUCUCAUUCCUCAAGAAGUGUGUUGGCAUAGAUGAGCCUCUGACCUCGAUGUAUCAGCUCAGUGGUCAACAGCCUUAUGCAGAAAGAGCUUUGGUGUGCAACUCUUCCACUUGAUUUUCUAAGUAUGGAAGCUCUCCUGAGGAGCUGCAUUAUGUGCUGCUGGCCCUGAGAUGGGAUGCAGAGCAAGGAGUGAAGAAGAGCUGUGCCAGUGCUUUUGUGAGGAGAGGGGCUUUCCGGCACGUCAUAUGGUGGAUGGGCUUUAUGGAGAGACCAGGUUUUAAGGCUGUUGUGGAGACUUAGAUCACGUAUCCUCGGAGACUGAAUAGCUGAUGGCUGCUUCAGCAUGGGAAGAAUGAUCAAGACUGGAUAAUGCCACUCUGUACCUCACCUGGCCUCUGGUGGUACCUUGCAAGCCUUGGGUUUCAGAGAAUUUUCCUGAGGACUGCUGCUGAGCUUUGAGGGUACCACCCCUGACAGAAAUGUGAUACUCAGCAAGAGCCUGGAGAUACUUCCUCCUUUAGUCCUUUGUUGUCUAGGAUGCAGAAAUGCCACUUUUCCCCAAACUGGGAAAAUGUUUUUUUCAGUCACUCAAAUACCAGAAAACAAUGCAUUGGAGAACAAGGGUUAGGGGGAACUCAGUCCUGCCAUGCUCCCAGCGAGGAUAUGUCCAUUUUCACUUGUGUGUUUUCUCUGAAGCUACAAACUCAGCUUGCAGUUGGAUAAGUGCUUACUUAGUGUAACACUGAAUAAUCUCUCUUUCAAGGGCUUUAAGUACUGUGUUGAAUUAGGACUUUAGAAAGGUAAAAGCCAAGCUCCCUUUGCCAAGAGGAGCUUCCAUUCAUAGAGUCAGGAAGUGAUCUGACAUGGACAUCGAUGACCUGCUUUGUUAUCUGUGUGUGAAAUCUGGCUCUGCUGAAACCAGUGGCAAAACUGCCAUUGAUUUUAAGAGUUCUGCAUUUCAUUUUCAGUAUGUUUAUUUGCAUUACUUUUUCCUAUAAUGUUUGAUAUGUAGGCAUAGAGGUCAGGGGGAAAAUACUGAUACAAUUGAGACACACUUUCCAUUAUGGUAAGGAGUGGGCAGAUGUCACUGUGGGAAGAUACAUUCAGAGUUUUGCCUGGCACUUUGAAAUGCUUUUAAUUUUUUCCUACCUGCCAUGCUUCAGCCUCCAGGUUAAACUUGUAUAUGAAUGGUAGGUCUUAAUAUUUUGAGUGUUCUGGUUUUUUCUGCAUUAUUUAGAUACCAAACUUGCAAAACAUUCCUCUUAGCAGGGCAAUUCAUCCUCUACUGGAUCGUAAUGAGACCAGUGCUUCCUUUCCUGGGAAAGUAUGUGCCUCUGGUGAGAGAAGCCCACCUUUCACAAACCACAGCUAAAGCUUGUUUUUUCACUGAAGCACAAAGCACACAGCCACUUGCAAAUGUCAGUUUUCUUAGCAUGAAGUAAAUAUACAUUUUGUAAAUGUGGGACAGAACUGUUUUGAUGUGGGUCUUGAACAGGACUUCAGUAUAGAUAGCUCAUCUUUAAUUUAUAGUUACAUGCAAUUGAACCAUUCCAGGAAAAGCCAUUUUGUGGUUUUGGGCCAGGGAAGAAGAAGGAGGAUAAAAACCUUCUGCCCUAAACAGUAACAGAUAGGACAGGCAGAACAGAUAUAUGUUCCCUAAGUGAAAACUUAGUAAAGGGAUCUUGAAAUGUUUAUCAUUACUAAAAUCACUGAGAGAUUUGUGCUGAAACUCUUUCAGGUAUCAGCCCUUCUUUCUCUGGGAAAAAAACAAACACUCCUUUUUUUGUUUGCUACCUCUGUUGCCACAAACAAAUUUUGUUAAAUUCAGCUGGCAGCCAGUCAGCAGUGGUGUUCCUCAGGGCUCAGUAUUGGGGCCAGCUCUGUUUAAUCUCUUUAUCAAUGAUAUUGAUGAGGGGAUCGAGGGCACCCAGUCAAUUUGUGGGCAGCAGGAAUCUGGAUGGGACUGUUGAUCUGCCAGAGGGUUGGAGGGCUCUGCAAAGGGAUCUGAACAGGCUGGGUUGAUGGGCCAAGGCCAAUUGUAUGAGGUUCAACAAGGCCGAGUGCCAGGUCUGCACCUGGGUCACAACAACCCCUGCAGUGACACAGGGGAGGGGCAGAGGGGCUGGAAAGCUGCCCAGAGGAAAAGGACCUCUGAGCAGCAGUGGCUGAAUAUGUGCCAGUGUGCCCAGGUGGCCAAGAAAGCCAGUGGUACCUGGUCUGCAUCCAAAAGAGUGUGGCUAGCAGGGCCAGGGCAGUGAUUGUCCCCCUGUGCUGGGGGGACAAUCCUGUAUUCAGUUUUGGGCCCCUCACUGCA